GAUGAACGCUAGCGGCGGGCCUAACACAUGCAAGUCGAACGGUAACAGUACCGCUUGCGGUAGCUGACGAGUGGCGCACGGGUGCGUAACGCGUAUGCAACUUGCCUUUAACUGGAAGAUAGCCCCGAGAAAUCGGGAUUAAUACUCCAUAAUAUCAUAUGGCAGCAUUGUCAAGUGAUUAAAGCUACGGCGGUUAAAGAUGGGCAUGCGUCCCAUUAGCUAGUUGGUAAGGUAACGGCUUACCAAGGCAACGAUGGGUAGGGGGCCUGAGAGGGUGAACCCCCACACUGGUACUGAGACACGGACCAGACUCCUACGGGAGGCAGCAGUGAGGAAUAUUGGUCAAUGGAGGGAACUCUGAACCAGCCACGCCGCGUGAAGGAUGACUGCCCUACGGGUUGUAAACUUCUUUUAUUUGGGAAGAAACUUUUCUACGUGUAGAAAAUUGACGGUACCAAACGAAUAAGGACCGGCUAACUCCG
RNAcentral lists this ribosomal RNA (482 nucleotides) under uncultured Flavobacteriales bacterium. Its description in RNAcentral is "bacterial SSU rRNA". It matches the Rfam family "Bacterial small subunit ribosomal RNA", at positions 28 to 505 of the family's 1533-position model. Lineage: Bacteria; Pseudomonadati; Bacteroidota; Flavobacteriia; Flavobacteriales. The record is from RNAcentral.